RNAcentral lists this long non-coding RNA (803 nucleotides) under Citrus sinensis (sweet orange). Its description in RNAcentral is "long non-coding RNA (CSIN_LNC002786)". Lineage: Eukaryota; Viridiplantae; Streptophyta; Magnoliopsida; Sapindales; Rutaceae. The record is from RNAcentral.
UCCAGAUGCAAGGAUCUCAACCAUAUCAUGCACCUCUCCGUCAUGAUUCCCUACAUAAGAAAGUGUGAGCUUCUCCUUUGUGGCAACCAACCUCGUAUAUCCAAAUUCACCCCCACGGUACAAAGAUCGCAUAGGCUGAGGGAAGACUGGAUCAUCUGGGUGGUCUGGUCUAGGUUGCCAUAUCGGCUGCCAGUCUUGUCCAGCCAUCCCGAUCACAAUAUGAACCGGAAAUGCCUCUGAGUGCUCCCCAUCCAUGCCCAUGCUUCCACAUGUGAAAUUAUUCAGUGGGCAGAACCUCUCAUAUCUAUGGACAUGACCCCAUAAUGCAAGAGUCACAUUGUUUUCCACAAACAAAGGUUCCAAGUGCUCAAGCAUUCUAUUCCUCAACGGGGCAUCUCUGUUUUCAUUGCUUGUAGUGUACAUUGGCCUGUGCCCUUGGACUACAACAAAUGGGGUCUUCUUCCGAUCAACUGACUCUAGAUCAUGCUUUAUGAAGUUAUAUUGGUUACUUCCCCAAAGGAAAUUGGUCUCGGUUGAUAUGUAAACAAAAUGUACCACCCCCAUAUCAAAUGAGUAAUAGAGAUUUCGAGUGGCUGGAGCACGGGUUCCAGUUGGCUCUAAUGAGUUCCCAGGCAUGUGAAAUUUAAGGCUGUAGGGUACUCCACAUUCACCACCACCAUCGGUCCCAUAAACUGUGUAUGACCAAUCAGGUUUCCAAGGCUGCAACGGCCAAUCAUACUCAUGAUUGCCAAUGCAGACAUGAUAUGCUACUCUGGAAGCAACAGGCUCAAUAAGUGCGAAAA